GUCACCUCCGUCCACUCUGACGUCCACCAUCAACCUGCGAACAUCAUCUACACUCUUACCUCUCAAUACCACCAUAAUGAUACUAUUUUGGUGGAAUUCCCUCGGUAUGGGUGGAGAGAAGACUCCUCGUGAGUUCCCAAUCUCAAGAGGGGCAUUGCAGAAAAUGGAUUGUGAAAUGCAGAGCAGCCACCACAUGAUCAGUGCUCUUGGGCUGUCAACUAAGAAGUAUU
This is a non-coding RNA of Cherax quadricarinatus, 230 nucleotides long. Lineage: Eukaryota; Metazoa; Arthropoda; Malacostraca; Decapoda; Parastacidae. The record is from RefSeq and is a predicted model, not a curated record.